GAUGAACGCUGGCGGCGUGCCUAAUACAUGCAAGUCGAGCGAACGGACGAGAAGCUUGCUUCUCUGAUGUUAGCGGCGGACGGGUGAGUAACACGUGGAUAACCUACCUAUAAGACUGGGAUAACUUCGGGAAACCGGAGCUAAUACCGGAUAAUAUUUUGAACCGCAUGGUUCAAAAGUGAAAGACGGUCUUGCUGUAACUUAUAGAUGGAUCCGCGCUGCAUUAGCUAGUUGGUAAGGUAACGGCUUACCAAGGCAACGAUGCAUAGCCGACCUGAGAGGGCGAUCGGCCACACUGGAACUGAGACACGGUCCAGACUCCUACGGGAGGCAGCAGUAGGGAAUCUUCCGCAAUGGGAGAAAGCCUGACGGAGCAACGCCGCGUGAGUGAUGAAGGUCUUCGGAUCGUAAAACUCUGUUAUUAGGGAAGAACAUAUGUGUAAGUAACUGUGCACAUCUUGACGGUACCUAAUCAGAAAGCCACGGCUAACUACGUG
Molecule: ribosomal RNA, 497 nt
Filed under: uncultured bacterium
Lineage: Bacteria
Description: partial 16S ribosomal RNA
Rfam family: Bacterial small subunit ribosomal RNA
Source: RNAcentral